Sus scrofa (pig) is the source of this 4082-nucleotide long non-coding RNA. RefSeq lists it as uncharacterized. NCBI's taxonomy places the organism in Eukaryota, Metazoa, Chordata, Mammalia, Artiodactyla, Suidae. The record is from RefSeq and is a predicted model, not a curated record.
UUGCCCAAAACAAAACCCGAGCUGCAAAGGAUUGAUUUAUCCUGCGGACUCUGGCAGGCCGGCCUGUCCACCAGCACCGUCUGCACGCAGCGGGGACAACUUAGCACGUCUCGGAGCCGCUCUGCUCCCCUCUGCCACCCACCUGUCUCUUGGCUCCCCCUGCAUCCUGGGGCCUGGCCCAGCACUCGUCUUUGUCCUUGGCCCUGGGCUUAAGGAGAAGCUGAAGCUUUCUGCAACCUGGCAGCCUCCAUCCUAAAGCCUUCUCUCACCCGGUGGGCUUAGCCAGAGAGGACCCCGAUGCUGUCGGGGAAACAUUUCCGACCCCAGACCAGGACAAGAGCGGCUUGGCUGAAGAGGCGCGAGAUUGAUGUUCUUGAAGAUACUGUGUAUCCGUGUCCAUGCUGUCGGGCUAUGGCUCAAAAGGCAUCACAUGAAGGGAAGAUUAUGUGGUAUUUUUAAAAAAUCACGUGUAUUCAUUAUUUGUAACCCCACGUUUUAAUCUCCCUGGGCCCCCUUUGAGCACGGACUUGGUUCCCAAAACAAUAUUAUUUAGCCUCGAAUUAGGGUUUGCAUCCAGAUUUAUCCACGGGAAAUAAAAUGGGGUGGGAGACGUCAUACAAAAUUGAGAUGGGCGACAUGGUAAGAAUUACAGGGAGAGGGGCAAGAGGCCAGCCACUGGGCAGCCCUGUGUGAGGAGCGAGGCCGCUGCUCCCAGAGAGUGGCCCAGGCUGGAAGCAUCCAGACCUUUCUUUACAGGCGUCACAGAAUCAGCAGCCUCGGGAGAGGCCGGUGCGGGUAACACAGAGACAGCCAUGAGGACCCCUUGGGCAAGACGUACAGAAAGCCUCCGCAGACACCAAUCACUGCUCGUGGUGGCCAAGGGCGCCUCAAAUCUUGAAAGAGCAGGUACGUCCAGAGUGGGGAGGCGGUCCCCAGGCCACAGCCUCAGGAGCUCGCAGCAGUGGCCGUGCCCCCAGCCCCACCGCGAGGAUGAGGUGCCCAACUAUUGAGACUCGAGGAGUGUAGCCCAACUGCAAGAGCCACCCAGGUCCACACGACCGCGCCCCACUGCAUCUGGGGCUCAGCCUUUGGAUAGGAGUCCGCUGAGCCAGUGCCAGCACGAAUCAACGCUGCUUCCUGGCGAGAAGCCUUGGUGUCUCAUUUCUCUGUACGCAAGUCCUGCAACGCUGCUAUCUAGGGCAUGUUUGAGAGAUGCCCCCCCAAAUCGCUCAAAUCUGGCAGUCUCCUGGGAGGCCUCACAGAAUUCAUCAAGGGCCACUGGACUCACGGCUAUGGCAUCAAGGACACAGAUGAGGGUCAGCCGAGGGAACCGGCACUCGAGCAGGUGCAGGAGGGAUCCCUGCGCAGAGAGGCUGCUGCCCCCUCGCAUGGCGUCACGCAGGUGACAUCACGCAGGGAGUCCUACCAGCCAGGGAGGCUCACCCAUACGCUGGUGUCCAGGGGUUUCGUUGGGCUCCAUCACACACCCGACGGCUGACCUCCUGGAGGGGGGGACACCUGCCCCCAAACCCUGACAGAGACGCUCCUUGCCUAGACGCACUCACACUCCUCUGCGCCCCCUUCUCAACGAGGCCUCCACCUUGGCCUCCAGGAACUGCAAACUCGGCACAAACGCUUUCAUCCACCACCACCGGCCACACUCAGAGCCUCGAGCAAACACUAGCCUGGUGUCUCUGGGAUGAGCAAGUCACCCCAAGCCCCCCGAGGUUCCCGCCUGGGAAAGCUCAAGGAAGCCAAAGUAAUUUACACUCUGGCCCAAGAGCUUUGCCUCCAAGGUCUCAUACAACGGCCCUCCCUUUCUGCCAUGUUCCCACUGCCCUGACUCUGCCUGAACCUCUGCUCAUCGCUUUCUCUUCCUCCCUCUAAAAUGCCCAGUCGCCGCUGCACAGGCGUUGAGCUCAGUUUAUGCAGAAGCCCCUCUUGGAGUAGAAGGCCGAAUGAAAUACAUCACACGGCCCACAGCUAAUGUCUGGCUCAGGUUCGCCUUGGCAUCAAUUACUGGAAAUCACAUCGCUUAAUGGUGAUUUCCAGCAAACAAGACACUCCUAUCAGGCAGGGCAUUUCGGGAGCCCAGGGCACAGGCAAUUCUCCAGGGAGAGUAAAUUCUCUCUGGACGUGAAUCCCCCAGGUCCUGGCCUGGGCAGGGAGCAGCUUGGAAGGGGAUGGCUGGGCAAGCCUCCCGGACCAGCUGGCCCUGGGAUGAGGUGACAGGAAGAGGAAGCUGUGGCUGGGGGGUGGUAGGAGCCACCAAGGGGGCAGCAGGGAGUCACCACGGAGGUCCGUGGUCCUCCCACUGAAGCCAGGAAAGAGGGGGGUGUCGCCCACUAGGAACUGGGAGGGUCUGGAGUCCUGUAAGGACCGCCAGACACCAGCGGCUGGGCUUCUUUCUCUUCUUUCUGGUGCCUCCUGGAUGAAAACAUUAUUUUUUAAAUUAUUGGGAUAAGGACAGUUAGCAUGAGAUUUACUCUCUUCAAUCGCCAAGGGUACAACCAUAUUGUUAACUGCAGGCAAAUGUACAGCAGACCUGUAGAACUUUUGGAAAGACGUCCUACAACCCUCUCUAAAGAUGAGAAGAGGGGGGGCAGCUGACCUGCCCAGGACAGGAAAGCCAGCAGAUAAGGAGGUACUGCGGAGUGGACACGGUGCCCAGCACCGCCCGGGGCACAUGACUCCCCGCAGUUCUUAUAAAUACUUCCUGGAGGCCGGUCUUUUUAUGGCCAUUACUGUUGAGGAAAUCAAUUGAGAGACAAUGGGACUCUCAAGUGAUCACACAGCGGGUAAACAUAGCCGAGUGGGGACCGGCUCCCGACUCUUCUGCCAGCUGCCUGGCACCGUCUAUGAAAUGCGCAUGCGCCAGCCCCAGACUGCACGGGACCAGGCGGCCCUGCAGCCCCGCCCAACAAGGCUCCCAGCCGUCACUGCAUCUCCCUCUGCGGGACUUGGUUGGCUUUGGAGUUGCAAAGAGACUCAUUCUCUUAAACAAGGAACAUAUCUAAGUGCUUUGCCUCAACAAGAUUCAGACACAAGUUAAUCAAUCUCCAAGCCGUUUUCCUAGCAGUGGUCGUACGGUGAUGCGAGAACGUGAGUUCAUAAGGCUGUAACAUCCAGCCCUUCCUCUCUUGUCUUAUUUGCACAUUAGUGUUUCUUUUUUUGUUUAUUGGGUUUUUUUUUUCCCCCUUUCUUUUUUUGGCUGUGCCAUGGCAUGUGGAAGUUCCCAGCCAGGGAUCAAACCCGUGCCAUAGCAGUGACCUGAGCCACAGCAGUGACAACACUGGAUCCUUAACCCACUGAGCCAGCAGGGAACUCACUCUUGUUUGUUUUUUUAUUGUCCCCCUUCCCUGAAAGGUCCCCACUUCAGGACAGGGGGGGGUCUUGUGUCUUAAUCAACACUCUAUCUUUAGCAUCUUGACAACAAAGUCAUGUUAAAGUAAUGAUACCGCACCCGUGAGAACAGACACACAAAGGGCUCCUUAUGAGAAACACAUGCUUAAGCUUCCAGCCAAAAGCCCCAGCUUUUGAAAAGAAGAAUCUGAUCAAAUUUGACCUCGUUUAAAUCGGUCCAAAUCCCUGAACAUCGAAGCAAAUCUUUCCUCAUUCGCUCUUAAAUUGGACAAGUUUUAGUUUGGUUGCUGAUGAUAAUAUUUGUUUUAAGAAGGGUUUCGCUAUAUCCUCGUUAACACAUUUUGGUUUUGUGGAUCGAUUUGCUGGAUUCAAAACAAAACCCUCUUCACGGUUGGACACGGAGCCUCCCGUUCGGUUCUCGCCCUCGGAGUUGCCGUCCUCUAGCGACAUCUACAGGCCGCUGCAAAAUGUGCGCCCACGAACAGCAAUGCCGAGCAGCCUGGAGAGCUCAGCGGUCCACUGGAAACCGAUAUGCCAGCGUGCGCACACACACGCACACGCACUUUUUUCAAUCUUGUAUUUAUAUUAUUAUCAAAAACCCAUCAUAUGUUACGUAAUCUUUAACCAAAAAUUCUCCUAGUAACUUACAAUUUAAAAAGAAACUGAUUUCCUCUCCUGACCAAGAUGAACUCGUCGGGAUUGAAUGAACCUUCCCGCCU